This 97-nucleotide transfer RNA is filed under the name Halothiobacillus sp. 14-55-98. RNAcentral's name for it is "tRNA-Leu". It matches the Rfam family "tRNA". From Rfam's summary of the family: Transfer RNA (tRNA) molecules are approximately 80 nucleotides in length. Their secondary structure includes four short double-helical elements and three loops (D, anti-codon, and T loops). Further hydrogen bonds mediate the characteristic L-shaped molecular structure. tRNAs have two regions of fundamental functional importance: the anti-codon, which is responsible for specific mRNA codon recognition, and the 3' end, to which the tRNAs corresponding amino acid is attached (by aminoacyl-tRNA synthetases). tRNAs cope with the degeneracy of the genetic code in two manners: having more than one tRNA (with a specific anti-codon) for a particular amino acid; and 'wobble' base-pairing, i.e. permitting non-standard base-pairing at the 3rd anti-codon position. Lineage: Bacteria; Pseudomonadati; Pseudomonadota; Gammaproteobacteria; Chromatiales; Halothiobacillaceae. The record is from RNAcentral.
GCGGACGUGGUGGAAUUGGUAGACACGCUAUCUGACACGCUAUCUUGAGGGGGUAGUGGCGAAAGCUGUGUGGGUUCGAGUCCCACCGUCCGCACCA